UACGGGAGGCAGCAGUGGGGAAUAUUGGGCAAUGGGGGCAACCCUGACCCAGCAACGCCGCGUGAAGGAAGAAGGUCUUCGGAUUGUAAACUUCUUUGACAAGGGACGAUAAUGACGGUACCUUGAAAACAAGCCACGGCUAACUACGUGCCAGCAGCCGCGGUAAU
This 167-nucleotide ribosomal RNA is filed under the name uncultured rumen bacterium. RNAcentral's name for it is "partial 16S ribosomal RNA". It matches the Rfam family "Bacterial small subunit ribosomal RNA", at positions 340 to 524 of the family's 1533-position model. The record is from RNAcentral.